RNAcentral lists this ribosomal RNA (368 nucleotides) under uncultured bacterium. RNAcentral describes it as "bacterial SSU rRNA". It matches the Rfam family "Bacterial small subunit ribosomal RNA", at positions 527 to 896 of the family's 1533-position model. The record is from RNAcentral.
GAACUGUGCAAACGUUAUUCGGAAUCACUGGGCUUAAAGGGUGCGUAGGCGGCUUGUCAAGUAGGGUGUGAAAGCCCCCGGCUUAACCGGGGAAUUGCGCCCUAAACUGACGAGCUGGAGUGGGACAGGGGUGUGUGGAACUUCCGGUGGAGCGGUGAAAUGUGUUGAUAUCGGAAGGAACGCCGGUGGCGAAAGCGACACACUGGGUCUCAACUGACGCUGAGGCACGAAAGCCAGGGGAGCGAACGGGAUUAGAUACCCCAGUAGUCCUGGCCGUAAACGAUGAACACUAGUAGGAAGAAACCUAGUUUUUUCCUCCGGAGCUAAAGUGUUAAGUGUUCCGCCUGGGGAGUAUGGUCGCAAGGCUG